RNAcentral lists this ribosomal RNA (687 nucleotides) under Triticum aestivum (bread wheat). RNAcentral's name for it is "partial small subunit ribosomal RNA". The record is from RNAcentral. Lineage: Eukaryota; Viridiplantae; Streptophyta; Magnoliopsida; Poales; Poaceae.
AUGCCUUGUUGCUCUAACAAUGAAGUUUCUACUUCCUCUAGUUCUUUUGUUAAUACUAACCUUGUAGAGGAAAAUAAAGAGCUCAAGGCCCAAGUCACCAGUUUGAAGAAAGACUUGGAAAAAUAUUGUGAUAAUAUCUUGAGUGUGCAAAAGGACCCUCAAGACAAAAUUGGACUUGAUUUCAUCUCCAACAAGAAGAAGUCCAAGAACAAGAAGAAGGGACGAGAUCAAGUCAAGAAUUCGGCCAACAUUAUUUGCUUCAAGUGCAAGAAUGUUGUACACCAUGUGAGAUCUUGUCCAUUGAAGAAGAAGGCUUCAAGUGUGAAGCAUCAAGGGAAGUGGCCUCAAGUUCAAUAUCAAGAUAAUGAAAGGCAUCUUCCCAUGCCUAACCAAGAUAAUGCUCUCCAAGUUGAAAAGGUAAAGAAGAAGAGAAAGGGGAGCACAUGUUGCUAUAUUUGCCGUAAGAAGGGACACAUAGCUUCAUCUUGUUCCAACGGUAACAUAUCUAAGCCUCCUAUAGUCAAUAAUCAUUAUUCGCUAAAGAAGGAUAUUGUUGGCAAUGUGUUUGCCAAGUUUGUGGGUUCCCAGAGAAGUUUGAAAGUGGACAAGACCAUUUGGGUUGCCAAGCCUAUUGUUACUAACUUCUUAGGACCCAACUUGGUUGGGGACCAUCAAGCACAAACUUGA